ACGCUCGACACCUACGGGAGCAGCAGUGGGGAAUAUUGCACAAUGGGGGAAACCCUGAUGCAGCGACGCCGCGUGGAGGAAGAAGGUCUUCGGAUUGUAAACUCCUGUUGUUGGGGAAAAAGAGGAUGGUACCCAACAAGGAAGUGACGGCUAACUACGUGCCAGCACGCCGUAGUACGUUAUCGNGGGCGGCGGGUCGAGGACGAGC
RNAcentral lists this ribosomal RNA (208 nucleotides) under uncultured bacterium. RNAcentral describes it as "partial 16S ribosomal RNA". It matches the Rfam family "Bacterial small subunit ribosomal RNA", at positions 328 to 540 of the family's 1533-position model. The record is from RNAcentral.